GGCUGGUCUAAGUACAGUGGUACUUACAACGAGUUGAUCACAACCAGUUACAGAUUUCUUUGUUCCUUCACUCCCGCUGUUUCACUUGACUAGUAUUUA
Molecule: Y RNA, 99 nt
Organism: Pongo abelii (Sumatran orangutan)
Lineage: Eukaryota; Metazoa; Chordata; Mammalia; Primates; Hominidae
Rfam family: Y RNA
About the family: Y RNAs are components of the Ro ribonucleoprotein particle (Ro RNP), in association with Ro60 and La proteins.
Source: Ensembl